This 254-nucleotide ribosomal RNA is filed under the name uncultured bacterium. RNAcentral describes it as "partial 16S ribosomal RNA". It matches the Rfam family "Bacterial small subunit ribosomal RNA", at positions 524 to 776 of the family's 1533-position model. The record is from RNAcentral.
UACGUAGGGGCCUAGCGUUGUCCGGAUUUAUUGGGCGUAAAGAGCUCGUAGGCGGUUCGGUAAGUCAGGUGUGAAAUCUCCACGCUCAACGUGGAGGGGCCACCUGAUACUGCCGUGACUUGAGUCCGGUAGGGGAGUGUGGAAUUCCCGGUGUAGCGGUGAAAUGCGCAGAUAUCGGGAGGAACACCAGUGGCGAAGGCGGCACUCUGGGCCGGAACUGACGCUGAGGAGCGAAAGCGUGGGGAGCAAACAGG